RNAcentral lists this small nucleolar RNA (93 nucleotides) under Bos taurus (domestic cattle). RNAcentral's name for it is "Small nucleolar RNA SNORD116 (ENSBTAG00000078133.1, ENSBTAG00090020332.1, ENSBTAG00095020661.1)". It matches the Rfam family "Small nucleolar RNA SNORD116". Rfam says of the family: HBII-85 is a member of the C/D class of snoRNAs, which contain the C (UGAUGA) and D (CUGA) box motifs. HBII-85 is encoded in a tandemly repeated array with another C/D snoRNA, HBII-52, in the Prader-Willi syndrome (PWS) region of chromosome 15. The record is from Rfam by way of RNAcentral. Lineage: Eukaryota; Metazoa; Chordata; Mammalia; Artiodactyla; Bovidae.
GGAUCGAUGAUGACACCCUCACAUGCAUUCCUUGGAAAAUCUGAACAAAAUGAGUGAGAACUCACUACUGUCUCCUCAUCGAAACUGAGGUCC